This 483-nucleotide ribosomal RNA is filed under the name uncultured bacterium. RNAcentral's name for it is "partial 16S ribosomal RNA". It matches the Rfam family "Bacterial small subunit ribosomal RNA", at positions 28 to 523 of the family's 1533-position model. The record is from RNAcentral.
GACGAACGCUGGCGGCGUGCUUAACACAUGCAAGUCGAACGAUGAAGCCGCUUCGGUGGUGGAUUAGUGGCGAACGGGUGAGUAACACGUGGGCAAUCUGCCCUGCACUCUGGGACAAGCCCUGGAAACGGGGUCUAAUACCGGAUACGACCAUCGGCCGCAUGGCCUGGUGGUGGAAAGCUCUGGUGGUGCAGGAUGAGCCCGCGGCCUAUCAGCUUGUUGGUGGGGUGAUGGCCUACCAAGGCGACGACGGGUAGCCGGCCUGAGAGGGCGACCGGCCACACUGGGGCUGGGACACGGCCCAGACUCCUACGGGAGGCAGCAGUGGGGAAUAUUGCACAAUGGGCGCAAGCCUGAUGCAGCGACGCCGCGUGAGGGAUGACGGCCUUCGGGUUGUAAACCUCUUUCAGCAGGGAAGAAGCUUUCGGGUGACGGUACCUGCAGAAGAAGCACCGGCUAACUACGUGCCAGCCGCCGCCGUAA